ACAUAGCCACUAGCCACAAACCAGUAUUAGAGGUAACACCUGCCCAGUGAGAAACCCUUAAACGGCCGCGAUAACCAACCGCGCAAAGGUAGCGCAAUCACUUGUCCCCUAAAUAGGGACCCGUAUGAAAGGUUGCAUGAGAAAGAGACUGUCUCCUUAGGAUGGUCGAUGAAACUGAUCUGUCAGUACAAAAGCUGACAUUAAAAAAUAGGACAAAAAGACCCUGUGAAACUUAAAACCUAAUCAAACCCACAUUGACAGAAGGUUUUUAGUUGGGGCAACUGAGGGGAAACAAAACCCCCUAACACUGCCAAGUCCAACAAGACAAAGCACACAACACUAAACCGGACCCAGUAAUACUGAUCAAAGAACCAAGCUACUCCAGGGAUAACAGCACCACACUCUUUAAGAGUCCAUAUCAACAAGAGUACCUACGACCUCGAUGUUGGAUCAGGGUAACCCGACGGUGAAAAAGCUGUCAAAGGUUCGUUCGUUCAACGAUUAAAACCCUACGUGAUCU
Molecule: ribosomal RNA, 520 nt
Filed under: Uromastyx thomasi
Lineage: Eukaryota; Metazoa; Chordata; Lepidosauria; Squamata; Agamidae
Description: partial 16S ribosomal RNA
Rfam family: Bacterial large subunit ribosomal RNA
Source: RNAcentral